UCCUGGUGGCUCAGACGGUAAAGCAUCUGCCUGUAGUGUAGGAGACCCGGGUUCAAUCCCUGGGUCAGGAA
RNAcentral lists this transfer RNA (71 nucleotides) under Ovis aries (sheep). It matches the Rfam family "tRNA". From Rfam's summary of the family: Transfer RNA (tRNA) molecules are approximately 80 nucleotides in length. The record is from Rfam by way of RNAcentral. Lineage: Eukaryota; Metazoa; Chordata; Mammalia; Artiodactyla; Bovidae.